Molecule: unclassified non-coding RNA, 402 nt
Filed under: soil metagenome
Description: partial contains 5.8S ribosomal RNA, internal transcribed spacer 2, and large subunit ribosomal RNA
Rfam family: 5.8S ribosomal RNA (bases 1-121)
Source: RNAcentral
GAUGAAGAACGUAGCGAAAUGCGAUAAGUAAUGUGAAUUGCAGAAUUCAGUGAAUCAUCGAAUCUUUGAACGCACCUUGCGCCCUUUGGCUAUUCCGAAGGGCAUGCCUGUUUGAGUAUCAUGAACACCUCAACUCUUUAUGGUUUUCCAUGAAGGGCUUGGACUUUGGGGGUCUUGCUGGCCUUUAGUCAGCUCCUCUCAAACGAAUCAGCUUUCCGGUGUUUGGCAGCGUCACAGGUGUGAUAACUAUCUACGCUUGUGGUUUUCUGCCAGGUAAUCCUCAGUGAUGGGGAUUCGCUGGGGCUUAUAAAUGUCUCUCCUCAGCGAAGACAGCUUUGUGAACGUUUGAUCUCAAAUCAGGUAGGACUACCCGCUGAACUUAAGCAUAUCAAUAAGCGGGGA